UGAUGACUUUAUUUGUACUAUAUAUUUUUUGUAUUAAGCCAAUCAUUUUAACAUAGCAAAACAAUUCAUAGCUGACAAAAUCUUAUGCUGCAUGUUCUGCCCAACCGUAGUCAUAUCGUCCUGUGGGUCCAGGCGGAUUCUGUGAGGAGGCAUUGGUAGUACGGCAUCGUCGGGGUUUUUUGCUUUCCCACAUACGUCUCCACAACGGUUGCCCUUAUGUCCUUGGGCGACUCGGACCACUCCGAUUAGCACAGAGCAAAAAAUUUUUGCCUAGUAUCGAGCUUCUGUUUGGUUUAAGAACUUCUACGGAUCAAAAACAUGUGGGCCUUGUGGAUCGUGUUCUCCCAUGUGCUGUGGAGGCUUCUGUAGUGGCUGUCACUGAGUAAUAACGACAAUCGACAGGAUCUAUGCCUUCCAUCAACGCUCUGGUGACAACUGCAGAAAGCUAGAACUCAAAGCUGCCUCAAAAAAAUAGCUUUAGGCUAGUUCUAUGAUAGUUUUAAAAAUAAACCAUUUAAAAAUAAAACAAUUUCGAAUA
This is a long non-coding RNA of Drosophila miranda, 538 nucleotides long. RefSeq lists it as uncharacterized. NCBI's taxonomy places the organism in Eukaryota, Metazoa, Arthropoda, Insecta, Diptera, Drosophilidae. The record is from RefSeq and is a predicted model, not a curated record. The transcript has 3 exons.